CUACAGGCAAGUUUACCUGACUGUGUUGUGGUAUAUCUCUCUAUAGUGAGUGUGACCGGGGAAAAUUGCACCGUGUAUGCACAUGAGUGUGCACACGAGGUAUGCCAGGCCGGCUCUGUAAUAUCGUGCAUAGACAACCUUUGCACGUGCAAGCAUCUGGAUUUAAGAUGCAGCAGUCAGAGAGAAUGUCACCAGUACACCACUGCAGAUGUGUGUCCAACUGACCGAUGGUAUUGCGGCCGAGAUAAUAUUUGUCACUGCAUCAAUUUUGGAAAGUAAUAACAGUUCUCUGUUGGUGUUUCCUUUGGACAUUUCAUUAAAUCUCUAAAUAUG
Long non-coding RNA from Mizuhopecten yessoensis (Yesso scallop), 333 nucleotides. RefSeq lists it as uncharacterized. The record is from RefSeq and is a predicted model, not a curated record. NCBI's taxonomy places the organism in Eukaryota, Metazoa, Mollusca, Bivalvia, Pectinida, Pectinidae. The transcript is spliced from 3 exons.